Molecule: small nucleolar RNA, 105 nt
Organism: Pongo abelii (Sumatran orangutan)
Lineage: Eukaryota; Metazoa; Chordata; Mammalia; Primates; Hominidae
Source: Ensembl
CUGCUUUUGUAGUUCAUGAGCAUGGUGAUUGGGUGUUCAUGCAGGUGUGUGAGAUAUGCCACCCUUGAACCUUGUUACAACACUGGCACAUUCUCAGACCUGAAA